Molecule: ribosomal RNA, 497 nt
Filed under: uncultured bacterium
Lineage: Bacteria
Description: partial 16S ribosomal RNA
Rfam family: Bacterial small subunit ribosomal RNA
Source: RNAcentral
GAUGAACGCUGGCGGCGUGCCUAAUACAUGCAAGUCGAGCGAACGGACGAGAAGCUUGCUUCUCUGAUGUUAGCGGCGGACGGGUGAGUAACACGUGGAUAACCUACCUAUAAGACUGGGAUAACUUCGGGAAACCGGAGCUAAUACCGGAUAAUAUUUUGAACCGCAUGGUUCAAAAGUGAAAGACGGUCUUGCUGUCACUUAUAGAUGGAUCCGCGCUGCAUUAGCUAGUUGGUAAGGUAACGGCUUACCAAGGCAACGAUGCAUAGCCGACCUGAGAGGGUGAUCGGCCACACUGGAACUGAGACACGGUCCAGACUCCUACGGGAGGCAGCAGUAGGGAAUCUUCCGCAAAGGGCGAAAGCCUGACGGAGCAACGCCGCGUGAGUGAUAAAGGUCUUCGGAUCGUAAAACUCUGUUAUUAGGGAAGAACAUAUGUGUAAGUAACUGUGCACAUCUUGACGGUACCUAAUCAGAAAGCCACGGCUAACUACGUG